Molecule: ribosomal RNA, 910 nt
Filed under: human gut metagenome
Description: bacterial LSU rRNA
Rfam family: Bacterial large subunit ribosomal RNA
Source: RNAcentral
ACUGUCUCAACGAGGGACCCGGUGAAAUUGAAGUACCUGUGAAGAUGCAGGUUACCCGCGACUGGACAGAAAGACCCCAUGGAGCUUUACUGUAACCUGACAUUGGGUUCUGAUACAUCACGUACAGGAUAGGUGGGAGGCAUGGAAGCGAGGACGCUAGUCUUCGUGGAGCCGCCGUUGGGAUACCACCCUUGAUGUAUCGGAAUUCUAACCGUAGGAGUAACGAAACUCGGGACAGUGUCAGGCGGGCAGUUUGACUGGGGCGGUCGCCUCCCAAAGAGUAACGGAGGCGCCCAAAGGUUCCCUCAGCGCGGCCGGAAAUCGCGCGAAGAGUGUAAAGGCAGAAGGGAGCUUGACUGAGAGCCAAACACGGCAAUCAGGUACGAAAGUAGGGCUUAGUGAUCCGGUGGCAUCCAAGUGGAAGGGCCAUCGCUCAACGGAUAAAAGCUACCCUGGGGAUAACAGGCUAAUCUCUCCCAAGAGUCCAUAUCGACGGGGAGGUUUGGCACCUCGAUGUCGGCUCAUCACAUCCUGGGGCUGAAGUCGGUCCCAAGGGUUGGGCUGUUCGCCCAUUAAAGUGGUACGUGAGCUGGGUUCAGAACGUCGUGAGACAGUUCGGUCCCUAUCCAUCGCGGGCGCAAGAGAUUUGAAGGGGGCUGCUCCUAGUACGAGAGGACCGGAGUGGACGAACCAAUGGUGUACCAAUUAUCUCGCCAGAGGUAUAGUUGGGUAGCUACGUUCGGAAAGGAUAAACGCUGAAAGCAUCUAAGCGUGAAACCAGCCUUAAGAUGAGAUCUCUCAUAGAGCAAUCUAGUAAGACACCUUGGAGAAGACGAGGUUGAUAGGUCGGGAGUGUAAGUACAGUAAUGUAUUCAGCGGACCGAUACUAAUAUGUCGAGGGCUUGACUUG